AGGACGAACGCUGGCGGCGUGCUUCAUACAUGCAAAGUCGAACGAGAAUCUGUAGCUUGCUACAGAGGAAAGUGGCGGACGGGUGAGUAAAAUGUAGAGAAUCUGCCCUAGAGUGGGGGACAACCGUUGGAAACGACAGCUAAUACCCCAUAUGAGCGUACCUGAAAUGGUAUUCUUGAAAACUCCGGUGCUCUGGGAUGAGUCUGCAUCUGAUUAGCUAUUGGGGGUGUAAUGGACCACCAAGGCGACGAUCAGUAGCUGGUUUGAGAGGAUGAUCAGCCACAAUGGGACUGAGACACGGCCCAUACUCCUACGGGAGGCAGCAGUAGGGAAUUUUGCGCAAUGGGGGAAACCCUGACGUACCAGCAACGCCGCGUGAUCGAGACGUCUUUUCGGAGUGUAAAGAUCUGUCAGUGGGGACGAACAAUGACGGUACCCACAGAGGAAGCACCGGCUAACUCCGUGCCAGCCGCCGC
Molecule: ribosomal RNA, 476 nt
Filed under: uncultured bacterium
Lineage: Bacteria
Description: bacterial SSU rRNA
Rfam family: Bacterial small subunit ribosomal RNA
Source: RNAcentral